Molecule: ribosomal RNA, 585 nt
Filed under: uncultured bacterium
Lineage: Bacteria
Description: partial 16S ribosomal RNA
Rfam family: Bacterial small subunit ribosomal RNA
Source: RNAcentral
UGGGGAAUUUUGGACAAUGGGCGAAAGCCUGAUCCAGCAAUGCCGCGUGUGUGAAGAAGGCCUUCGGGUUGUAAAGCACUUUUGUCCGGAAAGAAAUCCUCUGGGUUAAUACCUCGGGGGGAUGACGGUACCGGAAGAAUAAGCACCGGCUAACUACGUGCCAGCAGCCGCGGUAAUACGUAGGGUGCAAGCGUUAAUCGGAAUUACUGGGCGUAAAGCGUGCGCAGGCGGUUUUGUAAGACGGAUGUGAAAUCCCCGGGCUUAACCUGGGAACUGCAUUCGUGACUGCAAGGCUAGAGUAUGGCAGAGGGGGGUAGAAUUCCACGUGUAGCAGUGAAAUGCGUAGAGAUGUGGAGGAAUACCGAUGGCGAAGGCAGCCCCCUGGGCCAAUACUGACGCUCAUGCACGAAAGCGUGGGGAGCAAACAGGAUUAGGAUACCCUGGUAGUCCACGCCCUAAACGAUGUCAACUAGUUGUUGGGGAUUCAUUUCCUUAGUAACGUAGCUAACGCGUGAAGUUGACCGCCUGGGGAGUACGGUCGCAAGAUUAAAACUCAAAUGAAUUGACGGGGUCAUAGCUGUUUCC